This is a non-coding RNA of Phrynosoma platyrhinos (Desert horned lizard), 72 nucleotides long. NCBI's taxonomy places the organism in Eukaryota, Metazoa, Chordata, Lepidosauria, Squamata, Phrynosomatidae. The record is from the annotation of a GenBank genome assembly.
GCCAGUGUGGCGUAUUGGUUUGAGCACUAGACUGUGAUGCUGGAGAUCAUGGUUUGAAUCCCAGCUCAGCCA